RNAcentral lists this ribosomal RNA (293 nucleotides) under uncultured eukaryote. RNAcentral describes it as "partial 18S ribosomal RNA". It matches the Rfam family "Eukaryotic small subunit ribosomal RNA", at positions 6 to 299 of the family's 1831-position model. The record is from RNAcentral.
GGUUGAUCCUGCCAGUAGUCAUAUGCUUGUCUCAAAGAUUAAGCCAUGCAAGUCUAAGUUUAAAUUAGUUUAACAGUGAAACUGCGAAUGGCUCAUUAAAUCAGUUAUAGUUUAUUUGAUAGUACAAUUACUACUUGGAUAACCGUGGUAAUUCUAGAGCUAAUACAUGCAUUAAUCCCCGACUUCUGGAAGGGGUGUAUUUAUUAGAUAAAAAACCAUCCUGCUUCGGCAGUUUUUUGGUGAUUCAUAGUAACUUUUCGAAUCGCAUGACUUUAUGUCGGCGAUGUAUCAUU